This 506-nucleotide ribosomal RNA is filed under the name uncultured bacterium. RNAcentral's name for it is "bacterial SSU rRNA". It matches the Rfam family "Bacterial small subunit ribosomal RNA", at positions 17 to 518 of the family's 1533-position model. The record is from RNAcentral.
UUAUGGCUCAGGAUGAACGCUGGCGGCGUGCUUAAUACAUGCAAGUCGAACGAAGCACUUUUGACAGAUCCCCUCGGGGGUGAAGAUGAUUGUGACUUAGUGGCGGACGGGUGAGUAACGCGUGGGGAACCUGCCUCGUGCUGGGGGAUAACAGUUUAGAAAUGACUGCUAAUACCGCAUAAGCGCACAGUAAGGCAUCUUACAGUGUGAAAAGAUUUAUCGGCAUGAGAUGGACCCGCGUCUGAUUAGGUAGUUGGCGGGGUAACGGCCCACCAAGCCCGCGAUCAGUAGCCGACUUGAGAGAGUGAUCGGCCACAUUGGGACUGAGACGCGGCCCAGACUCCUACGGGAGGCAGCAGUAGGGAAUAUUGCACAAUGGGGGAAACCCUGAUGCAGCCGACGCCGCGUGAGUGAUGAAGUAUUUCGGUACGUAAAACUCUAUCAGCAGGGAAGAUAAUGACGGUACCUGACUAAGAAGCCCCGGCUAACUACGUGCCAGCAGCAGC